Molecule: small RNA, 203 nt
Filed under: Streptomyces sp.
Lineage: Bacteria; Bacillati; Actinomycetota; Actinomycetes; Kitasatosporales; Streptomycetaceae
Description: c-di-AMP sequence
Rfam family: c-di-AMP riboswitch aptamer (ydaO/yuaA leader) (bases 41-203)
About the family: This family represents a conserved RNA structure found upstream of the ydaO and yuaA genes in Bacillus subtilis and related genes in other bacteria.
Source: RNAcentral
CCGGGUGGACCGCCUAAUCCUGCCGCCGCCCGGGAACCGCACCCGACCAUCGCGCGCGGCAGGAGCGGGGGAACCAGGUAGGCCGCUGUUCCGGAUCAUUUCCGGCGCAGCUAGGGGUGAAGCCGAACCCGUGCACCGCACGUACGGCCGGACAUCUCCAGUCCGAACCCGACAGCUCACCUCGCAGGCGCCGGAGAGGAAUU